CCUACGGGAGGCAGCAGUAGGGAAUAUUGCUCAAUGGGGGAAACCCUGAAGCAGCAACGCCGCGUGGAGGAUGAAGGUUUUCGGAUUGUAAACUCCUUUUGUUAGAGAAGAUAAUGACGGUAUCUAACGAAUAAGCACCGGCUAACUCCGUGCCAGCAGCCGCGGUAAUACGGAGGGUGCAAGCGUUACUCGGAAUCACUGGGCGUAAGGAGCGCGUAGGCGGGAUAGCAAGUCAGAUGUGAAAUCCUAUGGCUUAACCAUAGAACUGCAGUUGAAAUUGUUAUUCUAGAGUAUGGGAGAGGUAGGUGGAAUUCUUGGUGUAGGGGUAAAAUCCGUAGAGAUCAAGAGGAAUACUCAUUGCGAAGGCGACCUGCUAGAACAUAACUGACGCUGAUGCGCGAAAGCGUGGGGAGCAAACAGGAUUAGAUACCCGAGUAGUC
This 440-nucleotide ribosomal RNA is filed under the name uncultured bacterium. RNAcentral describes it as "partial 16S ribosomal RNA". It matches the Rfam family "Bacterial small subunit ribosomal RNA", at positions 338 to 795 of the family's 1533-position model. The record is from RNAcentral.